RNAcentral lists this ribosomal RNA (465 nucleotides) under uncultured ammonia-oxidizing beta proteobacterium. RNAcentral's name for it is "bacterial SSU rRNA". It matches the Rfam family "Bacterial small subunit ribosomal RNA", at positions 198 to 645 of the family's 1533-position model. Lineage: Bacteria; Pseudomonadati; Pseudomonadota; Betaproteobacteria. The record is from RNAcentral.
GGAGGAAAGCAGGGGAUCGUAAGACCUUGCGUUAAUGGAGCGGCCGAUAUCUGAUUAGCUAGUUGGUGAGGUAAAGGCUCACCAAGGCGACGAUCAGUAGCUGGUUUGAGAGAACGACCAGCCACACUGGAACUGAGACACGGUCCAGACUCCUACGGGAGGCAGCAGUGGGGAAUUUUGGACAAUGGGGGCAACCCUGAUCAGCCAUUCCGCGUGAGUGAAGAAGGCCUUCGGGUUGUAAAGCUCUUUCGCAAGGGAAGAAAACUUAUGAUCGAAUAAAUCAUGAGGUUGACGGUACCUUGAUAAGAAGCACCGGCUGACUACGUGCCAGCAGCCGCGGUAAUACGCAGGGUGCGAGCGUUAAUCGGAAUUACUGGGCGUAAAGCGUGCGCAGGCGGUUUUGUAAGUCGGAUGUGGAAUCCCCGGGCUCAACCUGGGAACUGCGUUUGAAACUACAAGGCUAGA